CUGGCUCAGGAUGAACGCUAGCGACAGGCUAACACAUGCAAGUCGAGGGGCAGCAUAAAAGUAGCAAUACUUGGUGGCGACCGGCGCACGGGUGAGUAACGCGUAUGCAACCUACCUAUCAGAGGGGAAUAACCCGGCGAAAGUCGGACUAAUACCGCAUAAAACAGGGGCACCGCAUGGUGAUAUUUGUUAAAGAAAUUCGCUGAUAGAUGGGCAUGCGUUCCAUUAGGUAGUUGGUGAGGUAACGGCUCACCAAGCCGACGAUGGAUAGGGGAACUGAGAGGUUGGUCCCCCACACUGGUACUGAGACACGGACCAGACUCCUACGGGAGGCAGCAGUGAGGAAUAUUGGUCAAUGGGCGGGAGCCUGAACCAGCCAAGUCGCGUGAAGGAAGAAGGAUCUAUGGUUCGUAAACUUCUUUUGCAGGGGAAUAAAGUGCAGGACGUGUCCUGUUUUGUAUGUACCCUGAGAAUAAGGAUCGGCUAACUCCGUGCCAGCCGCGGC
This 505-nucleotide ribosomal RNA is filed under the name uncultured bacterium. RNAcentral describes it as "bacterial SSU rRNA". It matches the Rfam family "Bacterial small subunit ribosomal RNA", at positions 19 to 518 of the family's 1533-position model. The record is from RNAcentral.